GGAGAAGCAGCAUAAUGGAAAAAGCACUGGCUUGGGAGUCAGAAGACCUGGAUUCUAAUCCCAGCUCUACCA
RNAcentral lists this transfer RNA (72 nucleotides) under Ornithorhynchus anatinus (platypus). It matches the Rfam family "tRNA". Rfam says of the family: Transfer RNA (tRNA) molecules are approximately 80 nucleotides in length. Their secondary structure includes four short double-helical elements and three loops (D, anti-codon, and T loops). Further hydrogen bonds mediate the characteristic L-shaped molecular structure. tRNAs have two regions of fundamental functional importance: the anti-codon, which is responsible for specific mRNA codon recognition, and the 3' end, to which the tRNAs corresponding amino acid is attached (by aminoacyl-tRNA synthetases). tRNAs cope with the degeneracy of the genetic code in two manners: having more than one tRNA (with a specific anti-codon) for a particular amino acid; and 'wobble' base-pairing, i.e. permitting non-standard base-pairing at the 3rd anti-codon position. The record is from Rfam by way of RNAcentral. Lineage: Eukaryota; Metazoa; Chordata; Mammalia; Monotremata; Ornithorhynchidae.